Molecule: ribosomal RNA, 347 nt
Filed under: uncultured bacterium
Lineage: Bacteria
Description: partial 16S ribosomal RNA
Rfam family: Bacterial small subunit ribosomal RNA
Source: RNAcentral
CCUACGGGAGGCAGCAGUGAGGAAUAUUGGUCAAUGGGCGGGAGCCUGAACCAGCCAAGUCGCGUGAGGGAAGACGGUCCUAUGGAUUGUAAACCUCUUUAGGCGGGGAGCAAGGCAGGGCACGCGUGCCCGGAGGGAGAGGACCCGCAGAAAAAGCAGCGGCUAACGCCGUGCCAUCAGCGUCGGUAUUACGGGGGAUGCGAGCGUGAGCCGGAUUUCUUGGGUUCAAGGGGUGCGUAGGCGGAUUUUUAAGUCAGCGGUAAAAUGUCCGGGCUCACCCCGGGCCUGCCGUUGAAACGGGGGAUCUUGAGUGGGCGAGAAGUAUGCGGAAUGCGUGGUGUAGCGGU